Long non-coding RNA from Glycine soja, 408 nucleotides. RefSeq lists it as uncharacterized. The record is from RefSeq and is a predicted model, not a curated record. The transcript is spliced from 2 exons. NCBI's taxonomy places the organism in Eukaryota, Viridiplantae, Streptophyta, Magnoliopsida, Fabales, Fabaceae.
GAUAGUUUCAUCAUGCAUUUGUUACAUAAUAAACAUUCUUUGGCGAUCAUGUUGUAUGAUAGGAUGGACUCUACAAGGAAGUCUUCUCUCACAUUGGUAUUCUUAUUGGCUUUUUUCAUCAUUGCUUCAGAUAUGGGUAUGAAAUCUGAAGCGCAAAUAUCUCCACUUGCACGCUGUUCCAAAGACUCAGAUUGUAAACGUUAUUGUCCAACUUGUUAUCAAUGUAAUUGUGUGCGACGUGUUUGUUUGUGCGAAAACUCACCACCUUUAGCCAAUAAUAUUCAUAGUCAAGCUCCCCCAUAUUGAGUAUGGUGAUAUUGUGAUGUAAUCACAUAUGAAUGAGAAUAAUUAUGGAUUAAUAUGUAGCAUCCAAAACCUUAUGAAUGAUAAAGGAAAACUUCACUAAUA